Long non-coding RNA from Vicia villosa (hairy vetch), 323 nucleotides. RefSeq lists it as uncharacterized. The transcript is spliced from 3 exons. The record is from RefSeq and is a predicted model, not a curated record. Lineage: Eukaryota; Viridiplantae; Streptophyta; Magnoliopsida; Fabales; Fabaceae.
CAGCAGAGUGAAUCAGUGGAAAGCCCUAGACGCACACAAACUCAUCGCAACGGCGCUUGUUAAUCAAAUCCCUAACAUCUCCGGCGAACGACAAUCUGGCAAAGACGUUCGCAUCUAAAACGUGAAUGAACGAUUCCAGUUGUAGCAUACCAUCGCAAACAUCGUCAAAACCUCGUUAGUUCCCGUCGGUCUUGACAAGAUCCUUGUUGAUGACAUCAGUAAUACUAUCACUAACCACUACAAGAAAAAAUGGGAUCUACGACACAUGAAUUGUGACACUUCCUUCAAAACUAUCCUAAUUUCAUAUCUAGGUAGGUUUCCAC